Small nucleolar RNA from Ochotona princeps (American pika), 79 nucleotides. RefSeq annotates it as small nucleolar RNA ZL8. NCBI's taxonomy places the organism in Eukaryota, Metazoa, Chordata, Mammalia, Lagomorpha, Ochotonidae. The record is from RefSeq and is a predicted model, not a curated record. The transcript has a single exon.
GUGGAGUGGUAAUGAUGACUUCAUUGGUCUAGAGUCUGAGCUUUCUCUGAGGAUCUUUAAAACCACCUGAUCCACUCUG